UAAUACGUAGGUGGCGAGCGUUAUCCGGAAUUAUUGGGCGUAAAGAGCGCGCAGGUGGUUGAUUAAGUCUGAUGUGAAAGCCCACGGCUUAACCGUGGAGGGUCAUUGGAAACUGGUCGACUUGAGUGCAGAAGAGGGAAGUGGAAUUCCAUGUGUAGCGGUGAAAUGCGUAGAGAUAUGGAGGAACACCAGUGGCGAAGGCGGCUUCCUGGUCUGUAACUGACACUGAGGCGCGAAAGCGUGGGGAGCAAACAGG
Molecule: ribosomal RNA, 256 nt
Filed under: uncultured bacterium
Lineage: Bacteria
Also listed under: 1 other name
Description: partial 16S ribosomal RNA
Rfam family: Bacterial small subunit ribosomal RNA
Source: RNAcentral